RNAcentral lists this ribosomal RNA (700 nucleotides) under uncultured bacterium. Its description in RNAcentral is "bacterial SSU rRNA". It matches the Rfam family "Bacterial small subunit ribosomal RNA", at positions 8 to 724 of the family's 1533-position model. The record is from RNAcentral.
AGAGUUUGAUCAUGGCUCAGAAUGAACGUUGGCGGUGCGCCUUAUGCAUGCAAGUCGAACGGGGUUACGGUCUUCGGAUUGUAACCUAGUGGCGAAUGGCUGAGUAACACGUAAGUAACCUGCCUUGGAGUGGGAAAUAACUUGCCGAAAGGCAAGCUAAUGUCCCAUGUGGUAACGAAGCAAAUGCUUGGUUAUUAAAGCCUUAGGGUGCUCCAAGAGGGACUUGCGUCUGAUUAGCUAGUUGGUAGGGUAAUGGCCUACCAAGGCGAUGAUCAGUAGCUGGUCUGAGAGGAUGGUCAGCCAGAUGGGGACUGAGACACGGCCCCAACUCCUACGGGAGGCAGCAGCAAGGAAUCUUGGGCAAUGAGCGAAAGCUUGACCCAGCGACACCGCGUGAGGGAGGAAGGCCUUCGGGUUGUAAACCUCUUUUCUUGGGGAAGAAUUCUGACGGUACCCAAGGAAUAAGCCUCGGCCAACUACGUGCCAGCAGCCGCGGUAAUACGUAGGAGGCGAACGUUAUUCGGAUUUACUGGGCGUAAAGGGAGCGUAGGCGGUUCCUUAAGUCAGAUGUGAAACCUUCUGAUUCAAUCAGAAGGCGUCAUUUGAUACUGAGGGACUUGAGAAUAGCAGAGGGAAAUGGAAUCCCCAGUGUAGCGGUGAAAUGCGUAGAUNUUGGGGAGAACACCAGUGGCGAGGGCGA